CUCACUAACUCACGUUGAUAUCAGCCACAACACUCAUUCUCUAUCUCUCUCUCACACACUCACACUCAAACACGCCAAACACCAUUUUUAGCUUGGACGGAGGUUUCAAGCUCCGAUUUGAGCACCGAGACGAGCGCCGAUCAUCUUUUCGAUCAUGUAUCUAAGUAGGUCCUUUUGGGAAGUAACGACUUGAGGGAGAGAGUGACGUUACUCAUUGAUACAGAGACACAACGAGGUUGAGCUGAUGUGAUGAUGGUGCUGCAAUGAGCGGAGUCUCCAGGGUUGUUAAUAAAUAGUUAACCUGUCUAGAAUAUGUCUUCAUACAUAUGUCUAGCUACUUUCCGCUGCAAGAUGUUGUUGAUGUUAUAGUAUGUUAUGUCAUACUUUGAGUCUUAAGAGAAUGGUUGCAUAUGAUGUAUAACUUGAUUAAUGAUAUUAAUUAACUUUUAUGCAGUCUUUCAUAGACUGUUUUCAAUUGAGUAUUAAUGAAUAAAAAUGACGAGUUUUAUUAA
This is a long non-coding RNA of Salvia miltiorrhiza (redroot sage), 512 nucleotides long. RefSeq lists it as uncharacterized. Lineage: Eukaryota; Viridiplantae; Streptophyta; Magnoliopsida; Lamiales; Lamiaceae. The record is from RefSeq and is a predicted model, not a curated record. The transcript has 3 exons.